AGGACAGCCGUUGCCCUAGUGGUUUCGGACACACCGCCAACGCGCUGUGCGGUGCUGCCGUCCCGAGGUCAAGUCCCGGGGGAGGAGAAGAGCGGCUUCCCGCCUAGAGCAUUUGCAAGUCAGGAUUCUCUAAUCCCUCUGGGAGAAGGGUAUUCGGCUUGUCCGCUUUUUUUUGUGCCUAGUUUUGCACCCACAACAUGUAAGGGCCCGCUACCCCUACAACACAAAACAAUCUCCUCUAACCAACCUUUUCCCAAUCAAUUCUGUGACAGAGUUUCCUGGACACCCAGUCUUAGUUCAGAUAGACACCCAGUUAUGCAGUGCCACCAAUUCCAAUCAUUUUUAAACCUCCUGGAAUUCUAUCAUCAAACGGCAUGCAGGAAAAGGACAAGCAGCGAAAAUUCACGCCCCCUUGGGAGGUGGCGGCAUAUGCAAAGGAUAGCACUCCCACUCUACUACUGGGUAUCAUAUGCUGACUGUAUAUGCAUGAGGAUAGCAUAUGCUACCAAGAUAUAGAUUAGGAUAGYAUAUGCUACCCAGAUAUAGAUUAGGAUAGCAUAUGCUACCYAGAUAUAGAUUWGGRUAGCAUAUGCUACCCAGAUAUAGAUUWGGAUAGCAUAUGCUACCCAGAUAUAGAUUWGGRUAGCAUAUGCUACCCAGAUAUAGAUUWGGRUAGCAUAUGCUACCCAGAUAUAGAUUWGGRUAGCAUAUGCUACCCAGAUAUAGAUUWGGRUAGCAUAUGCUAYCCAGAUAUCUGGGUAGCAUAUGCUACCCAAAUCUAUAUUAGGRUAGCAUAUGCUAYCCWAAUCUAUAUURGGAUAGCAUAUGCUACCCAGAUAUAGAUUUGGAUAGCAUAUGCUACCCAGAUAUAGAUUAGGGUAGCAUAUGCUACCCAGAUAUAGAUUWGGRUAGCAUAUGCUACCCAGAUAUAGAUUUGGGUAGCAUAUGCUACCCAGAUAUAGAUUWGGRUAGCAUAUGCUACCCAGAUAUAGAUUWGGGUAGCAUAUGCUACCCARAUMUAKAUUWGGRUAGCAUAUGCUACCCAGAUAUCUGGGUAGCAUAUGCUAUCCAUCGCAACAUUAGCCCACCGUGCUCUCAGCGACCUCGUGAAUAUGAGGACCAACAACCCUGUGCUUGGCGCUCAGGCGCAAGUGUGUGUAACUUGUCCUCCAGAUCGCAGCAAUCGCGCCCCUAUCUUGGCCCGCCCACCUACUUAUGCAGGUAUUCCCCGGGGUGCCAUUAGUGGUUUUGUGGGCAAGUGGUUUGACCGCAGUGGUUAGCGAGGUUACAAUCAGCCAAGUUAUUACACCCUUAGUUUACAGUCCAAAACCGCAGGGCGGCGUGUGGGGGCUGACGCGUGCCCCCACUCCACAAUUUCAAAAAAAAGAGUGGCCACUUGUCUUUGUUUAUGGGCCCCAUUGGCGGGGAGCCCCGUUUAAUUUUCGGGGGUGUUAGAGACAACCAGUGGAGUCCGCUGCUGUCGGCGUCCACUCUCUUUCCCCUUGUUACAAAUAGAGUGUAACAACAUGGUUCACCUGUCUUGGUCCCUGCCUGGGACACAUCUUAAUAACCCCAGUAUCAUAUUGCACUAGGAUUAUGUGUUGCCCUUAGCAAUAAAUUCGUGUGAGAUGGACAUCCAGUCUUUACGGCUUGUCCCCACCCCAUGGAUUUCUAUUGUUAAAGAUAUUCAGAAUGUUUCAUUCCUACACUAGUAUUUAUUGCCCAAGGGGUUUGUGAGGGUUAUAUUGGUGUCAUAGCACAAUGCCACCACUGAACCCCCCGUUCAAAUUUUAUUCUGGGGGCGUCACCUGAAACCUUGUUUUCGAGCACCUCACAUACACCUUACUGUUCACAACUCAGCAGUUAUUCUAUUAGCUAAACGAAGGAGAAUGAAGAAGCAGGCGAAGAUUCAUGAGAGUUCACUGCCCGCUCCUUGAUCUUCAGCCACUGCCCUUGUGACUAAAAUGGUUCACUACCCUCGUGGAAUCCUGACCCCAUGUAAAUAAAACCGUGACAGCUCAUGGGGUGGGAGAUAUCGCUGUUCCUUAGGACCAUUUUACUAACCCUAAUUCGAUAGCAUAUGCUUCCCGUUGGGUAACAUGUGCUAUUGAAUUAGGGUUAGUCUGGAUAGUAUAUGCUACUACCCGGGAAGCAUAUGCUACCCGUUUAGGGUUAAAAAGGGGGCCUUAUAAACACUCUUGCUAACGCCCUCUUGAGGGUCCGCUUAUCGGUAGCUACACAGGCCCCUCUGAUUGACGUUGGUGUAGCCUCCCAUAGUCUUCCUGGGCCCCUGGGAGGUACAUGUCCCCCAGCAUUGGUGUAAGAGCUUCAGCCAAGAGUUACACAUAAAGGCAAUGUUGUGUUGCAGUCCACAGACUGCAAAGUCUGCUCCAGGAUGAAAGCCACUCAGUGUUGGCAAAUGUGCACAUCCAUUUAUAAGGAUGUCAACUACAGUCAGAGAACCCCUUUGUGUUUGGUCCCCCCCCGUGUCACAUGUGGAACAGGGCCCAGUUGGCAAGUUGUACCAACCAACUGAAGGGAUUACAUGCACUGCCCCGCGGGAAAUACGUCCUACCCAGGAACCCGAAACAGUGUUUCCCAGAAGCUGUAAAAAUAGAACGCCCUGGAACUGCCCCACUGUGCAAUGCAGCUUUUAGCCAUGCCAUGCUCUAUAAAUCACUCCCCUAUCUCAGGUAGGCCUGCACACCUUAGGUAUGGAGCGAAGGUUAGUGGUCACUCUGCAGUGCCUGGUGCUGCUUUACCUGGCACCUGAGUGUGGAGGUACAGACCAAUGUGACAAUUUUCCCCAAAUGUUGAGGGACCUAAGAGAUGCCUUCAGUCGUGUUAAAACCUUUUUCCAGACAAAGGACGAGGUAGAUAACCUUUUGCUCAAGGAGUCUCUGCUAGAGGACUUUAAGGGCUACCUUGGAUGCCAGGCCCUGUCAGAAAUGAUCCAAUUCUACCUGGAGGAAGUCAUGCCACAGGCUGAAAACCAGGACCCUGAAGCCAAAGACCAUGUAAAUUCUUUGGGUGAAAAUCUAAAGACCCUACGGCUCCGCCUGCGCAGGUGCCACAGGUUCCUGCCGUGUGAGAACAAGAGUAAAGCUGUGGAACAGAUAAAAAUGCCUUUAACAAGCUGCAGGAAAAAGGAAUUUACAAAGCCAUGAGUGAAUUUGACAUUUUUAUUAACUACAUAGAAGCAUACAUGACAAUUAAAGCCAGGUGAUAAUUCCAUACCCUGGAAGCAGGAGAUGGGUGCAUUUCACCCCAACCCCCCCUUUCGACUGUCAUUUACAAUAAAAUGAAACCUUUUAUUCUUGAUUGCUUCUUGUGUUCUUGCCGCCCAGGUACCUUCCUGUGUUCUCCCCACGGGAAAAAGAAUAGCUUCUGCAGAAGGCCAUUGACGCAAGUUUUGCCCGUGGGGAUUACCCGACCCAGCCACUUACAGCACAUUUUGUUCUAGGUCCAUCUUAGGAGCCCGGGCCAGCAUUCUAUCAGCUUAACGGGAAGAGAAGUGGGGAGGGCACUCGCCCACUAACCUUAACACCUGCAGCCUACAAAAGUACACUAGCUGUUUGCUCUAUUCGCCACUAGAGACCGCCAAAAUGCGAAACUACAGGCCCGGGCCCAGGCCUUGCAGGGCAGACGGUUAGGCUGACAAGUGGACAAGUGUGGCAGGUGGGCGGGAAGGGGCACAAGAAUGCCGGCGAAACUGGACCACGGUCCACCCCGCCCUCAAGCGUCCGGGAGCCGGGCGGCUCGGCCAAGGAGGGCGGCCUUGCGAACAAUCAUUAGUAGCUACCAACAAGGGCCCCCAGAUGCCCCCCACCAGUCACCCGUCCGUGUCCACUCACAUAUUCCACUCUUAUUUUU
RNAcentral lists this small RNA (3873 nucleotides) under human gammaherpesvirus 4 (Epstein-Barr virus). Its description in RNAcentral is "Human gammaherpesvirus 4 (Epstein-Barr virus) EBER-2". The stretch from base 1 to 173 matches the Rfam family "Epstein-Barr virus EBER2". Lineage: Duplodnaviria; Heunggongvirae; Peploviricota; Herviviricetes; Herpesvirales; Orthoherpesviridae. The record is from RNAcentral.